Molecule: ribosomal RNA, 208 nt
Filed under: uncultured bacterium
Lineage: Bacteria
Description: partial 16S ribosomal RNA
Rfam family: Bacterial small subunit ribosomal RNA
Source: RNAcentral
AGCGCAGACGGUUGAUUAAGUCUGAUGUGAAAGCCCGGAGCUCAACUCCGGAAUGGCAUUGGAAACUGGUUAACUUGAGUGCAGUAGAGGUAAGUGGAACUCCAUGUGUAGCGGUGGAAUGCGUAGAUAUAUGGAAGAACACCAGUGGCGAAGGCGGCUUACUGAACUGUAACUGACGUUGAGGCUCGAAAGUGUGGGUAGGCAAACA